CUUCAGUGAUGAUACGAUGACGAGACGGAAUAAGGCUCCAGUUCUGUGGGUUACUGGUUCAGGUCCACGUCCUGUGGUUCGGCUCCAGUUCCUCAGACCAGGAAGUCUUCUUCUCAUGAAGACACAGAGGCAUUUGUCUGAGAAGG
This is a small nucleolar RNA of Gasterosteus aculeatus aculeatus (three-spined stickleback), 146 nucleotides long. The record is from Ensembl. Lineage: Eukaryota; Metazoa; Chordata; Actinopteri; Perciformes; Gasterosteidae.